GAUGAAGAACGUAGCGAAAUGCGAUAAGUAAUGUGAAUUGCAGAAUUCAGUGAAUCAUCGAAUCUUUGAACGCACAUUGCGCCCGCCAGUAUUCUGGCGGGCAUGCCUGUUCGAGCGUCAUUACAACCCUCAGGCCCCCGGGCCUGGCGUUGGGGAUCGGCGGAGCCCCCCGUGGGCACACGCCGUCCCCCAAAUGCAGUGGCGGUCCCGCCGCAGCUUCCAUCGCGUAGUAGCUAACACCUCGCGACUGGAGAGCGGCUUGACCACGCCGUUAAACCCCCAAUUUAUCAAGGUUGACCUCGGAUCAGGUAGGAAUACCCGCUGAACUUAAGCAUAUCAAUAAGCGGAGGA
This 351-nucleotide unclassified non-coding RNA is filed under the name soil metagenome. RNAcentral's name for it is "partial contains 5.8S ribosomal RNA, internal transcribed spacer 2, and large subunit ribosomal RNA". The stretch from base 1 to 120 matches the Rfam family "5.8S ribosomal RNA", at positions 35 to 154 of the family's 154-position model. The record is from RNAcentral.